RNAcentral lists this long non-coding RNA (3275 nucleotides) under Musa acuminata (dwarf banana). RNAcentral describes it as "long non-coding RNA (MACU_LNC005143)". Lineage: Eukaryota; Viridiplantae; Streptophyta; Magnoliopsida; Zingiberales; Musaceae. The record is from RNAcentral.
UCCGCGUUAAACUCCUGGUUUCAGCACAAGCUAGAACCCUAGAAAAGCUUCUGAAGGAUUCUCCCACCUUUUCUUCAUCUUGGUCUUCUUUUCACACAGCUUUCAAGUAAAGAUAUGUCGCUGGCCCAAAGUUCAAUUAAGAUGUGGCAACUUGAUGAAGCAUAGUUCACUGAGUGUUGGUAAGUUGGGGGAAGCUUUCUGGCAUUGGGUCGUCCAAGACGAGAUCGAAGUGCCCCGCAAAACAAUCAGUCAUGUUGCUCUGCUCCAACUGAAAUAAGAUUCAGCAGAGAGCGAAUUUAAUGUGUCUCUCCUGAGUUCUUGCCCUCUUGAUGUGGCUACUUGGUGAAGCAUUAGUUCACUGAAUGUUUGAAACCUCGGGGGGAAGCUUUCUGACAUCAGAUGAUAGAAGACAAAUCGAAGUGCCCUGCAAAACAAUCAUAGACAUGUCGCUCUGCUGUAACUGAAACAAGAUUAAGAAGACAGUGGUUUGAUAUAUAUGGAACAAAGUGUGUCAAAGCAAAUGCAGAUCAAUAUGUAAUGCUUUUUCAGAGACAUACAACAUCAAACAGACGCAUUCGGUCAUGAAAUGAGUCUUUUGUCUUGCAAGGUGUAAAUUCUAUUCAUUUUGGCAUCAAUUCAUGAACCAUUUAGCCUGAAAAUUGUUGCUGUUUGGCCAGCUGUGCCAUCUGCUCAACUUCCUUUCAAUAGUUCAUGAGUUGUGUCUAACGAGGGAUAAUAAUACAUGCAUGACACAGUAUGGCACCAGUGGGACCUGAAGAACCUAAUUGUCAAAUGAUGGCAUCAUUCUAACAACUUAGUGGAUCCACCAUCAUUUGGCCUCGGGCAGGAUUCGACUGAUUCUAUGUAAUGCACAUCAAAGAAGAAAAAAGAAGAGGAUAUGAAAUGAAGUUAUAAUGGAGGUGGUUGACCUUUCCUUUUCACCAACUUUAAGACUAGAGGCCAAUAAUAUCUUAACCUAGACUAAGUUUUCCCUGCAAUUUGAUCUUACUUGACUUGACUAUAUCUGUACUUGCAGCAAAUUUGCAGAUAGCACAUAGGCUAUUUACGUGGAGGUUCAAAUUUCAAAAUCAAGAAUCUCCCUGUAAAUACGAAAGAUUGGAAAUCAUAGUAUUACACUAGUCUAGUUACAUUCUCUAAGACCAAGCUCAUUCAACUAGAUGUUUGAGCUUACUAGAGAUAAUCUGUUUGGAGAUACCUGUCUUCAUGGAUGAUCACUGAAGCAUCACAAGCCAGCUUAAAUAAUCAGAUGAAAAGAUUUAAUGUGCCUAGACCGUUGUGCUAAACAUGUUAAGGCACCUGAUAAAUAAACAAGACAAAAGAUUUAGGAUAUGAGAGGAAAAGAAAAUUCAUUUCUCUCUGCAUGGUUUAGAUGGGCAUGAGGAAUAAGUAGAAAGAAAUAAGGGCCCUUAAAAAAUCUUCAUGGCACUACUUUUCAUGUCAAUGAUCCACAAGAUGAGCUUAAAGAUGAAACUGACUUUUAGAUGUUUGUGUAUGUCUGAUAGCACCUCACAUCACAAUGUACAUUAAAAUCCUUUGCAUUGACUACUCCAGGCCCCCUGUUACAAGAAAGAUGUGGAUUAUUGACCAAAGUGGGGCACUUCUUCAACAAAUCCAAAGAAAAAAAAAAGAUAGAAAUUACUUAUGAAUUUUACAUCUUAACUAUCACUCUUUGAAACAAAAUGUAGAUUUUGCUAAUAUGAUUGCACCAAGAAACUUUAGGAUGGAGCUUUGAUGCAAAUCACACUCGAGAGUGGAUUUGAGAAUUGUAAAAGAAGCAAGAAAUGUCAUGCAUGUUUUAGGGGUUAACUACAGAAGGAGCAUAGAAGAAAAAUGUUGGCAAAAUGAAGCACAGUGGUAGCCACAGAUCACAGGAACUUGUAAUGGUCCUAAUUGUCUCAAAUGGACUGUUUGAGAUUGAAUUAUGGACUUAUUAGGCACAAUCCAACCAACCUUUUUUAAAAUUUUUACAAUGAAGCCCCUCAAAAAAUUCUCUCUGUUUGUUGAACAUUAGUGAAAUGAAAUAUUAAGACAUGCUGAUUGAUACUUAUUACAUCCAGGAUCAGUUUGUCGGAUAUUAUAAUCCAGACCUUAUCAAGAAAGGAAACUUAAAUUAUUAGGUGUAUUUUAAUUUAAUGCUUGGCAUCAUAUAAAUGAGGUUUUAGUUUUUCAUGAUCGAAAACCAGAAAGGUUUUUAUUCAACAAGCCUGUUUCAACUUUCUAGAGCAGUUUCCUUGCAUCUCUUGAUGAGCACCAAAAGAACAGCCUAUCAUGUCCUAUAGCAUCCGAAUUCCUAAAUAUGUCAAGGGUAAUACAUGGCAAACACUUCAUCGUACCCUUUUGGAUCCAAACACAUGAGUGGUGUCUUCCAAGUCCCAGCUGAUACUUUAAUCUCUGCUUGCCAUACUGUUUACACAGAAAUCAGGGAGACAACAUCAAUUCUACAACAUGCAGUGUUUGAGCUUUUACAAUUUUGUUCUUAAGGUGAUCCUAUGGGAUUUAUAACUCAAUGUUUUCACCUUUUUCCCUGUUGGAAGAUACUUCAUAGAAACAAAGAAAUCAUACAACAACCAUCAACCAAAAAGAAAGAAGACCCAAACUACUAGAAGAGAUAGUCUGCUUCUGUGGGAUAAAAUUUACUUUUGUGAUGGUCCAUUUUUCUUUGGGGAGUGUGGUCUACUUGUCAGCUGUCUUACCAUUCCACCACACUCUCCUCAAUUUUUUUCUGUAAAGCCAUUACAGUUGUCCAUAUAAUGUCUGAUCAACCAGUCCUUGCUAGAUUGUUGGUUCCCCACCUGAUCUUGAAGAGGUUUGAGGUACUACAAAUAGUACAUUCUUAGCUUCAUUGUAUGUGUAUAAAUAAAUUGGCCAUGUAUCAGAAUUAAUCAAUCAAGUAAUCAUCAGAAGACCUAAUUUGCAGCACAAGUUGUUGAAGACUUUAAAGUCAUUCUCACUUUGAUAUUAUAAGCAAAGUGUCCCUAAUCAUGCUGGUGUUUAUGCUAAAAAUUCAGCUAAAUAGCUGCUUGCAUUGCCAGCUUAACUAAUUUACAUGUCAAGUAUCAAACAUAAAUGCAGUAUAAAGCAAAUAAACAAAUAUUUUGUUUCUGCAAACAUAAUUAAACUGAUAAAUCAUGGUGUUCCUUGGAUGCUAGAGUAUGGUGUAUCAAAAGCUUAGACAAGCAUAAAAGGAAGAGAAAAGAUAGAGAUCACCUGAGUUCGGUAUGACAUAUAGAACACAGCCCCAGACGCAAAUUGAC